UGUUCUGAGAUUAAGGUCUUCAUCUGGAUCCAGUCCUGAUCCUCUAAUGUUCCCAGACUCUGAAAUGCACAUUUCCUCUGCUUCACCUGUCUUAACAGUUCCCCGAGUCCUUAGUCUAUUUCAUCCAAAUAAAUCUUCAGACUAAAACCUCCCCCUAAUCCUUCAAUUUCUUCACCCACCUUUCUGUGACACUCCAAGCAUCUCA
RNAcentral lists this long non-coding RNA (205 nucleotides) under Bos taurus (domestic cattle). RNAcentral describes it as "long non-coding RNA NONBTAT009489". The record is from RNAcentral. Lineage: Eukaryota; Metazoa; Chordata; Mammalia; Artiodactyla; Bovidae.